GUGACAUACCUACAACUGUUGCUUCGGCGGGUAGGCCGUCCCCUGAAAAGGACGCCUCCCGGCCCGGACCGGACCCCCCGCGGGACCGGACCCGGCGCCCGCCGGAGGAUAACCAAACUCUAUUGUAACGACGUUUCUUCUGAGUGGCAUAAGCAAAAUAAUCAAAACUUUUAACAACGGAUCUCUUGGUUCUGGCAUCGAUGAAGAACGCAGCGAAAUGCGAUAAGUAAUGUGAAUUGCAGAAUUCAGUGAAUCAUCGAAUCUUUGAACGCACAUUGCGCCCGCCAGCAUUCUGGCGGGCAUGCCUGUUCGAGCGUCAUUUCAACCCUCAAGCUCUGCUUGGUGUUGGGGCUCUACGGUCGACGUAGGCCCUCAAAGGUAGUGGCGGACCCUCCCGGAGCCUCCUUUGCGUAGUAACAUUUCGUCUCGCACUGGGAUCCGGAGGGACUCUUGCCGUAAAACCCCCCAAUUUUCCAAAGGUUGACCUCGGAUCAGGUAGGAAUACCCGCUGAACUUAAGCAUAUCAUA
This 528-nucleotide ribosomal RNA is filed under the name Colletotrichum boninense. RNAcentral's name for it is "eukaryotic LSU rRNA". The stretch from base 166 to 319 matches the Rfam family "5.8S ribosomal RNA". Lineage: Eukaryota; Fungi; Ascomycota; Sordariomycetes; Glomerellales; Glomerellaceae. The record is from RNAcentral.